This 1879-nucleotide ribosomal RNA is filed under the name Campodeidae sp. 2. RNAcentral's name for it is "SSU rRNA". It matches the Rfam family "Eukaryotic small subunit ribosomal RNA". The record is from RNAcentral. Lineage: Eukaryota; Metazoa; Arthropoda; Diplura; Rhabdura; Campodeidae.
GCUUGUCUCAAGGGCUAAGCCAUGCAUGUCUAAGUAGAAGCCCGCCUCUGGCGGGCGAGACCGCGAAUGGCUCCUUACAACAGUCCCAGUUUACUGGAUGAUCGUGGCCUAGUUGGAUAACUGUGGCAAUUCUAGAGCUAAUACAUGCCCCAGAGCUCCAACUCCCUUGCGGGGGGAGGAGCGCUUUUAUUAGCUUAAAGCCAAUCGGGUCCUUGUGGCCCGCUUAUUGGUGACUCAAACGAACUGGCCGAUCGCGCGGCGUGAAAGCGCCCGCGACUCGUCCUUCAAGCGUCUGCCUCAUCAGCUUGACGGUAGGUUACACGCCUACCAUGGCUGCAACGGGUAACGGGGAAUCGGGGUUCGAUUCCGGAGAGGGAGCCUGAGAAACGGCUACCACAUCCAAGGAAGGCAGCAGGCGCGCAAUUUACCCCCUCCCGGCACGGGGAGGUAGUGACGAGGCGUACCGCCGCGGGCCCCCGCGCGGGGCUACGUGGGCGGAAUGAGCACAUUUUAAGUCCUUUAGCGAGGACCCAUUGGAGGGCAAGUCUGGUGCCAGCAGCCGCGGGAACUCCAGCUCCGAUAGCGUAUGUUAACGCUGCUGCGGUUAAAGAGCUCGUCGCCGGAUGUCGGCCUCGGAGGGGCGGUUCGCCGGAGGGCGACACUUCCCCGUUCCGGGCGCAGUGGCGCGGCCAUGUCGGUUGGGUUUCGGGGCCCUCCGCCGCACUCGUCUCGCCUAACCGCGGACUUGUGUCGGUGGGGGUGUUCUUUCCGUGCCCUCUCCGCGCGGCGACAGCGCCGGUUUCCUUGAGAAAAUUGGAGUGCUCAGAGCAGGCUGCUCAGGCUCGUACAGGAGUGCAUGGAACUAGCCCAUCGGUCCCGGACUGUCUUUGUGUUGGCUUUAGAGUCCGGGUCCAGGGUCAAUGGGGACGGCCGGGGGCAUUGGUACUGCGACGUUAGAGGUGAAAUUCAGGGAUCGUCGCNNNNNNNNNNNNNNNNNNNNNNNNNNCCAAGAACGUUUCCGUUGGCCGAGAACGAAAGUCGGAGGCUCGAAGGCGAUCAGAUACCGCCCUAGUUCUAACCUUAAACGAUGCCGACCGGCGAUCCGCCGCAGGAGGCGCACAAUGGCGCCUCGGCGGGCAGCCCGCCCGGGAAACCCGAGUGUUCGGGCUCCGGGGGGAGUAUGGUCGCAAGGCCGAAACUUAAAGGAAUUGACGGAAGGGCACCACCAGGAGUGGAGCCUGCGGCCUAAUUUGACUCAACACGGGGAACCUCACCAGGUCCGGACCCCGGCAAGAUUGACAGGUUCACACGACACAGCCCUUUCUCGAUCCGGUGGGGGGUGGUGCAUGGCCGUUCGUGGUUCGUGGAGCGAUCUGUCUGGUUCAUUCCGGUAACGGGCGAGGCCCCGGCCUGCUUACUAGAGCGGGGCUCCCUGAUGGGCGCCCGCCUGCUCUUCUUAGCGGGACGGGUGGCGGGAAGCCGCACGAAGUCGGGGCAAGAACAGGUCCGUGAUGCCCUUAGAAGUCCUGGGCCGCACGCGCGCUACACUGACGGAGGCAGCGCGCUCCCUUCACCCAGUCCGAGAGGACUCGGGAACCGCUGAACCUCCGUUCGUGCUGGGGACUGGGGACUGCAACUGUCCCCACGAACGAGGAAUUCCUCGUAGGCGCGAGUCAUCAGCUCGCGUCGAUUACGUCCCUGUCCUUUGUACACACCGCCCGUCGCUACAUCCGAUCGAGCGAUCGAGCGAGGCUUUCGGACCGGGCCCGGCUCGUCCAUCUCGGACGAGUCGGAGUCCCUGGAAAGUUGUCCAAGCUGGAUGGCUCAGAGGAGGUAUAAGUCGUAACAAGGUUUCCGUAGGUGAACCUGCGGAAGGAUC